CCUACGGGUGGCUGCAGUGGGGAAUUUUGGACAAUGGGCGCAAGCCUGAUCCAGCCAUUCCGCGUGAGUGAAGAAGGCCUUCGGGUUGUAAAGCUCUUUCGCAAGGGAAGAAAACUUAUCCUCUAACAUAGGAUGAGGUUGACGGUACCUUGAUAAGAAGCACCGGCUAACUACGUGCCAGCAGCCGCGGUAAUACGUAGGGUGCUAGUGUUAAUCGGGAUUACUGAGCGUAAAUCGUAAGUCAGAUGUUAAAUCCGCGAGCUCAAGUUGGGAACUGCGUUUGAAACUACAAGACUAGAAUAGGUCAGAGGGAGGUAGAAUUCCACGUGUAGCAGUGAAAUGCGUAGAGAUGUGGAGGAAUAUCAAUGGCGAAGGCAGCCCCCUGGGAUCAUAUUGACGCUCAUGCACGAAAGCGUGGGGAGCAAACAGGAUUAGAUACCCGUGUAGUC
Molecule: ribosomal RNA, 449 nt
Filed under: uncultured bacterium
Lineage: Bacteria
Description: partial 16S ribosomal RNA
Rfam family: Bacterial small subunit ribosomal RNA
Source: RNAcentral